RNAcentral lists this ribosomal RNA (400 nucleotides) under uncultured bacterium. Its description in RNAcentral is "bacterial SSU rRNA". It matches the Rfam family "Bacterial small subunit ribosomal RNA", at positions 356 to 773 of the family's 1533-position model. The record is from RNAcentral.
GGGGAAUAUUGGACAAUGGGCGCAAGCCUGAUCCAGCCAUGCCGCGUGAGUGAUGAAGGCCUUAGGGUUGUAAAGCUCUUUCAGCGGGGAAGAUAAUGACGGUACCCGCAGAAGAAGCCCCGGCUAACUUCGUGCCAGCAGCCGCGGUAAUACGAAGGGGGCUAGCGUUGUUCGGAAUCACUGGGCGUAAAGCGCGCGUAGGCGGAUCAUUAAGUCAGGGGUGAAAUCCCGAGGCUCAACCUCGGAACUGCCUCUGAUACUGGUGAUCUUGAGUCCGGGAGAGGUGAGUGGAACUCCUAGUGUAGAGGUGAAAUUCGUAGAUAUUAGGAAGAACACCAGUGGCGAAGGCGGCUCACUGGCCCGGUACUGACGCUGAUGUGCGAAAGCGUGGGGAGCAAAC